AAUUUAUUUAAAAACCCUAAACAGCAUCCUUGUUAAGAAUAGUAGUUCAGUUGUGUUAAAUGUGUUUGUGUGUGACUCUGAACACAGCAGCUCGGUGGUAGGUUCGUUAACGUAAAUGUUCUAUGUACGUGGGUUUGUGUAUAGAGUUUUGCUUUGCUUUUGGCAUAGAAUAUGAACGUCGCUGAUGAUGUUGGUGCUGGCUGUGGCUGUUUAGUAGUAGUUGGCAUCGUACGCUUAUAAGUAACGGGAAAAAGACACACAAAUUGCAAAUUUAGUUUAGAACGUGGGCUUGAACGAGAUGGUUCGCUUUUAGUCUUAUAAAAUAUUCAGAACAAAAAAAUCAAACGUUUCAUAUAAAAAUAAUAUUUAUUGAGAAAAAAAUUUCUGUGUAAAAAAAAUCUGAGAAAUUUAAAUCUUUGUCGAGCAAUUUUAAAUAUAGCUUUGCUUUGCUGCAGAAAGCUAUUGAUGUAAAAUUCUUUAAAAAUAUAUAUAAGAAAUAUACGAAAUAAAUAUCUAUAGUAAUAUUUUUUUUCUGGCAACUAUAAGGAUAAAAUUUUACAAAAAAAAAACGUUUUAUCUCUUUUUAUUUCAAAAGCCAGCCACAGUGAAGAAAAAUAAAUAGAAAAUUUGGCAAAAUAAGCUAGUAGUAUAAUAAUAAUAAGAAAGAAAAGAAAAAAAAAUUGAAAUGAAAAUUUGUUAUGGAAAAUGCAAUGAAGUGUAAAGUGAAUUUAUUUUGAAAAUAAAUAAUCCUACAAUAUCAACUUCUUAAAAAUCUAUAAUAAAACAUCGAGUGCUAGUAAAAAAACCGGAAAACUUAUUAAAACUCAGCAGAAGCAAGAAAAAAAAUUAACAUCACGUAAAAUAAAAACUUCAAAAAAUUAUUGCCACAACAUCAUCCCGUAAAAUGCAAGUAAAUUUCAAAGUAAUUUCAUUUAAAAGUUAAAUUGUAUAACAAUAAA
Lucilia cuprina (Australian sheep blowfly) is the source of this 959-nucleotide long non-coding RNA. RefSeq lists it as uncharacterized. The transcript has 2 exons. Lineage: Eukaryota; Metazoa; Arthropoda; Insecta; Diptera; Calliphoridae. The record is from RefSeq and is a predicted model, not a curated record.